GCAUUUGUUGUAUUUUGGUCAAUAGUGGGAUUUGUUUCAAUAGUAACAGCUUUCAGUAAUGGACUGUUGGCUCUGGAUCGAUGAAAACGCAACGAAAUGCGAUAAGUAGGGGAAUUGCAGAAUUCAGUGAAUCAUCGAAUCUUUGAACGCACAUUGCGCGCCUUGGUAUUCCAUGGGGCAUGCCUGUUCGAGCGUCAUCUACACCCUCAAGCUCUGCUUGGUGUUGGGCGUCUGUCCCGCCUCUGCGCGCGGAUCGCCCCAAAGGCAUUGGCAGCGGUCCACGGCCCCUCUCGCGCAGCACAUUGCGCUUCUCGAGGCGGCCCGGCCCGCAUCCACGAAGCCCACAUUACCGUCUUUGACCUCGGAUCAGGUAGGGAUACCCGCUGAACUUAAGCAUAUCAAUAAGCGGAGAAACCUCC
This 419-nucleotide ribosomal RNA is filed under the name Coniothyrium sp. Its description in RNAcentral is "eukaryotic LSU rRNA". The stretch from base 48 to 197 matches the Rfam family "5.8S ribosomal RNA". The record is from RNAcentral. Lineage: Eukaryota; Fungi; Ascomycota; Dothideomycetes; Pleosporales; Coniothyriaceae.